UACGGGGGGGGCAAGCGUUGUUCGGAAUUACUGGGCGUAAAGGGCUCGUAGGCGGCCAACUAAGUCGGAUGUGAAAUCCCCAGGCUUAACCUGGGAACUGCAUCCGAUACUGGAUGGCUUGAAUCCGGGAGAGGGAUGCAGAAUUCCAGGUGUAGCGGUGAAAUGCGUAGAUAUCUGGAGGAAUACCAGUGGCGAAGGCGGCCAACUGGACCACAACUGACGCUGAGGCGCGAAAGCGUGGGGAGCAAACAGG
RNAcentral lists this ribosomal RNA (253 nucleotides) under uncultured bacterium. RNAcentral describes it as "partial 16S ribosomal RNA". It matches the Rfam family "Bacterial small subunit ribosomal RNA", at positions 524 to 776 of the family's 1533-position model. The record is from RNAcentral.